Molecule: long non-coding RNA, 390 nt
Filed under: Homo sapiens (human)
Lineage: Eukaryota; Metazoa; Chordata; Mammalia; Primates; Hominidae
Description: non-protein coding lnc-NDUFB8-6:2
Source: RNAcentral
GCAGGAAGAGUAGUAUGUGACAGCUAUUUGUCUUUCUGCCUCAGAUGCACUGGCACCUAGACAUGUACAACAGGAACCGUGUGGAUACAUCCCCCACACCUGUUUCUUGGCAUGUCAUGUGUAUGCAGCUCUUCGGUUUCCUGGCUUUCAUGAUAUUCAUGUGCUGGGUGGGGGACGUGUACCCUGUCUACCAGCCUGUGGGACCAAAGCAGUAUCCUUACAAUAAUCUGUACCUGGAACGAGGCGGUGAUCCCUCCAAAGAACCAGAGCGGGUGGUUCACUAUGAGAUCUGAGGAGGCUUCGUGGGCUUUUGGGUCCUCUAACUAGGACUCCCUCAUUCCUAGAAAUUUAACCUUAAUGAAAUCCCUAAUAAAACUCAGUGCUGUGUUA